UUGCUUUGUCUGCCGUAAUCACCUCAAAAGUAUCAACGUUGACAUCUCCAACUACACGUCCACCACCAACCCCGGGAGGGAACGGCAUUGGAUCACCCUUCCUUGAUGCAAAAUCUCGGUCUUCAAGAAUACAUAUAGUAGAAACAAAUAUUUUCUCAAAAAGUCAAUCCACAUAGUAGCUACCAGUUACCUAUUAUUCUCUUGCAAACCUACUAUUUAGUUAUUUAAAGCUUUUAAACAUUACCUAAUAGUUGAUACUAAAAGAUCAACAACUUGCUACAACAAAACUUUUUACAAGUACGUUUUGGCCAAUAGAGUAAUAAAAUAAAAUGCAUAAUUCUACUAUAAUUUAAAAAUAUAUAACUACAUGAGAAUUUACAUGCAUACAGUUUUAAUCUCCUAACCAGGAAAGUUCCUUCAAUUCCUUCUAUUAUCAAAAAAAAAAAAAAUUGCCCACACCUAUGAUCACCCCAAACAAUAAUUACAAUUUCCCAAAAUAUAGGUAGCACACGUCAAUGCUUUUCUUCACAUUUAAUGAAAAACUAAUGCUGCCUCUAUUCCCAGAGCCUUUUUCAUCAGAGAUACCAGGCAAUGCUUUGAAAUGAGUAACUAACAACUGGCAAGCAAACACUCUCCCUUCAGCUCAGCAGUUUUUUCAAUCAAAAGUACAUCAAUACAAAAGUAAUGAAACUGAAACCCAUUAUAAAUUAAGUAGUCUUACUUGAAUCCCCAAUGUCAAGGUCAGCCAAAUCAUUUCCAACUGAAGAUGAUGAGCCAUACAAACUCCUCCUUUCAGCUGCACGAUCCCGGUAGGUUGUCUGAGGUUGUUCCUUGUGAG
RNAcentral lists this long non-coding RNA (838 nucleotides) under Vigna radiata. RNAcentral describes it as "long non-coding RNA (VRAD_LNC005880)". The record is from RNAcentral. Lineage: Eukaryota; Viridiplantae; Streptophyta; Magnoliopsida; Fabales; Fabaceae.